UACGUAGGGUGCAAGCGUUAAUCGGAAUUACUGGGCGUAAAGCGUUCGCAGGCGGUUAUGUAAGACAGAUGUGAAAUCCCCGGGCUCAACCUGGGAACUGCAUUUGUGACUGCAUAGCUAGAGUACGGUAGAGGGGGAUGGAAUUCCGCGUGUAGCAGUGAAAUGCGUAGAUAUGCGGAGGAACACCGAUGGCGAAGGCAAUCCCCUGGACCUGUACUGACGCUCAUGCACGAAAGCGUGGGGAGCAAACAGG
Molecule: ribosomal RNA, 253 nt
Filed under: uncultured bacterium
Lineage: Bacteria
Description: partial 16S ribosomal RNA
Rfam family: Bacterial small subunit ribosomal RNA
Source: RNAcentral